This 421-nucleotide ribosomal RNA is filed under the name uncultured eukaryote. RNAcentral's name for it is "bacterial SSU rRNA". It matches the Rfam family "Eukaryotic small subunit ribosomal RNA", at positions 592 to 1018 of the family's 1831-position model. The record is from RNAcentral.
CAAUAGCGUAUACUAACGUUGUUGCAGUUAAAAAGCUCGUAGUUGGAUUUCUGUGUUGGUGAGGCGGCCGGCCAUUCGUGGUUGUAGCUAGUUAUCACCGGCGCAUCUUGUCACAAGCCACGCUGGCCUUAACUGGUUGGCGUUGGGGACUGACUCGUUUACUUUGAGGAAAUUAGAGUGUUUCAAGCAGGCUCACGCCUUGAAUACAUUAGCAUGGAAUAAUAAGAUAGGACCUCGGUUUUAUUUUGUUGGUUUCUAGAGCUGAGGUAAUGAUUAAUAGGGAUAGUUGGGGGCAUUUUUAUUCCAUUGUCAGAGGUGAAAUUCUUGGAUUAACGGAAGAAAACUACUGCGAAAGCAUCUGCCAAGGAUGUUUUCAUUGAUCAAGAACGAAAGUUAGGGGAUCGAAGACGAUUAGAUACAU